Molecule: ribosomal RNA, 481 nt
Filed under: uncultured bacterium
Lineage: Bacteria
Description: partial 16S ribosomal RNA
Rfam family: Bacterial small subunit ribosomal RNA
Source: RNAcentral
GACGAACGCUGGCGGCGUGCUUAACACAUGCAAGUCGAGCGGAAAGGCCACUUCGGUGGUACUCGAGCGGCGAACGGGUGAGUAACACGUGGGUAAUCUGCCCCUGGCUUUGGGAUAGCCACCGGAAACGGUGAUUAAUACCGGAUACGACCACUUCUCGCAUGGGAUGGUGGUGGAAAGUUUUUUCGGCCAGGGAUGUGCUCGCGGCCUAUCAGCUUGAUGGUGAGGUAAUGGCUCACCAUGGCCUCGACGGGUAGCCGGCCUGAGAGGGUGACCGGUCACACUGGGACUGAGACACGGCCCAGACUCCUACGGGAGGCAGCAGUGGGGAAUAUUGGACAAUGGGCGGAAGCCUGAUCCAGCAACGCCGCGUGAGGGAUGACGGCCUUCGGGUUGUAAACCUCUUUCAGCAGGGACGAAGCGCAAGUGACGGUACCUGCAGAAGAAGCACCGGCCAACUACGUGCCAGCAGCCGCCGUAA